CCUACGGGAGGCAGCAGUGGGGAAUAUUGCACAAUGGGCGCAAGCCUGAUGCAGCGACGCCGCGUGGGGGAUGACGGCCUUCGGGUUAUAAACCUCUUUCGACAGGGACGAAGCUUUGGUGACGGUACCUGUAUAAGAAGCACCGGCUAACUACGUGCCAGCAGCCGCGGUAAUACGUAGGGUGCGAGCGUUGUCCGGAAUUACUGGGCGUAAAGAGCUCGUAGGUGGUUUGUCGCGUCGUCUGUGAAAUUCCGGGGCUUAACUUCGGGCGUGCAGGCGAUACGGGCAUAACUUGAGUGCUGUAGGGGAGACUGGAAUUCCUGGUGUAGCGGUGGAAUGCGCAGAUAUCAGGAGGAACACCGAUGGCGAAGGCAGGUCUCUGGGCAGUAACUGACGCUGAGGAGCGAAAGCAUGGGGAGCGAACAGGAUUAGAUACCCUGGUAGUCCAUGCCGUAAACGGUGGGCGCUAGGUGUAGGGGUCUUCCACGACUUCUGUGCCGUAGCUAACGCAUUAAGCGCCCCGCCUGGGGAGUACGGCCGCAAGGCUAAAACUCAAAUGAAUUGACGG
This 568-nucleotide ribosomal RNA is filed under the name uncultured bacterium. RNAcentral describes it as "bacterial SSU rRNA". It matches the Rfam family "Bacterial small subunit ribosomal RNA", at positions 338 to 916 of the family's 1533-position model. The record is from RNAcentral.